AAAGAAGAUUAAACAAAAGAAAUCGUAGCUAAAAAAAAAAGACCGCAUAGCAUCUCUGGCGCUGCCUCGGCGGCCGGCGCCGUGGUCACCGGAGCCUCCGCCAUCGGCAUCCCACGCCGGAGCUGCCGCAGCCAACAACGUACCACUCUGCAACUGCUGACUCCGCCACCGCCGUCGACGUUCCACGACGCGCCUCUUGUUCUCUCGUCCCCGAUCUCGGGGUGGAACUGCAGCUGGCGCAGUGAAGGAGAGGGGAGAGUAAGCCGAUCUUGUUCCAGGCCACGCUCGCAUUAGCGGUCGUCCUCCCACCUCCCCACGUCAGACACCCCAAGUUCUGUUGCUACUGAUCCGAGACUACGUUGCACACAAGGUGUUUGAGACAGAGACUAAGAUAGUUUGAUGACAAAGAGAAGUAUUGGUUCAGAUGAAGACCUGCGUCUGCAUAGAACAAUGGUGAAACGAAAGAAACAAGGGCUUCAACUGACCAACCUGCCAACGGAUAUUCUCUGCAGUAUCCUGUCACAAUUGCCGAUAAAAGAAGCUGUACGGACGAGCAUACUGUCAGAACAGUGGAAAUGUCUUUGGCAUCACCACCCAAAUCUAGUAUUUACUCUUAGCUCGAUGUUGCCAAUUCCUCGUACCUUACCGUUAACACCCAAUGAUGAUGAGCCAAGGAAACAUGAGUUUAUUCAGAGAGUCGAUGCAGUCCUACAGCAGCGCAGUGGUGUGGGGGUUGAGAACGUUCAGUUUCGGGCUCCAUUUGAAGAUGACCAAAGGGAUCAGAUAAAUAGAUGGGUGAACUUUGCUAUUGCAUCCAAGGCGAAACAGCUUAUAUUUGAUUUCUUAACUGCCAGCCCUAUGAGGCCACCAUAUAACUUCGAUUUGCGGCUUCUCGAUGACAGUAAUAGUUUACACUUGCGAUAUGUAAAACUCUGUUCCGUUUCUCUCAAGGUGCCUGCGGAUUUCAACGGUUUUCAGAACCUUAAAUGGAUUUGCUUGGCAGGCACGAAUAUUACCGAUGAUGACCUUCAACUUUUAGUGUCCAGCUGCUGUGUUUUGGAGUUACUUGGAAUUGCUAGCUGUAGAAUGCUUACAAGGGUACAGCUAUCUCAUCCUUCAAAUCCACUGAAGCAUUUGCACGUACAUGACUGUCGCUUGCUUCAGGCGAUGGAGUUAAACUUUGGUCUGGUAGAACUUGAGUACAGUGGCCCAUCGAUACUGUUGUCAGCUCCUGGAACUUUGCUUCUCAAAAAUAUGUGCAUCGAGUUGAAUGAUAUGUGUCCUUCUCUGGAAUACAUCUCUACGAAACUUGAUAAUAACGUGCCUCGUCUUGAGAUGCUGACUCUUCAUUGCACCGAGUCGAAGAGGGCUUCGUUGCCAGGAAAGCUGCACAAAUUUUCUUAUCUAAAGCACCUGAGACUGGAGCUGACUUUUUUGGGUGCUCCGAGAAGCAAGAGUGAUAUCCUCGAUUUCGCCUGCCUUCUAAUUGCUGCUCCUUUCCUGGAAAAGCUGGAAUUUCACAUGGUGCUGCGCUGCGAGCAUCCAAGGUACACCACCGACCAGGGAGACCUACGGAGCCUUCCCUCAGAGCCUCACCUGCAUCUCAGGCUGGUCGAAAUCACAGGGUUUUACGGCUGGAAAGGCCAGCUGGAGCUGGCGCUUCACAUCGUGAGGAACUCUGUCGCGCUCGAGGCGAUGAAGAUAGAUCCGAUCCCAGCCCCUGCAGUAGUUGGUUCCGAUUUUAGGCUGCUAGGAUGCCCGGAGUUCACUUCCUUUUCGGAUGGCUACGAGGCCGCCCUUGAGUUCCUCUGCAGCGCCGACCAUCGCCAUGUUGUUCAUGUCCUGGAACCUUGAGCUCAAGGAAGUCCCGGAGAAAAAUGUAUCUCUCUCACACACACCCCGCAACUUCCUCCAGACCAGCGUGGUGCCAUGCUAGCAGGCAAGAUGGCGAGCAGACAUAAAUCACUCAAGGAAGACAAGAUAAGGCAUGGCAUGGCUUGCCACUUGCUGUUGAUAAAGAGCUACUACAAUUCCUACAACCAGAUUUCCCUGUCAGUGGAUGAAAUCAUCAAGGGUAAAGCCCCGUUAAUGUUGAACCCACCAGGAACUCAAGAGCAACCGCAGCCUAAUACAAUUCCAAAGCGGUGGCCAAGACCUCCUGCGGGCAUAUUAGCAUUACCAGUGGAUGGGUCUUAUAAUGGCUCAGAUGGUUCGGCGGGUUCUGGUAUGAUAUUGAGAGAUGAUAAAGGUGGGGUGAUCUUCGCAGCGUAUCGUAAAAUUUUCAAUUGCAACGAAGCCCUUGAGGCCGAACUACAAGCUAUGGCAGAGGGACUCAAGUUGGCGGCCGAGCACUCUUCGGCUAAUAUUCUUUUACAAUCGGACUGUUCCUUAGCACUCAAGGCGCUGUCGGAUGACUCGUUGGAUAGAUCCAUGCAUGGCCAUCUGGUUAGAACGGUUAAGGGGUACAUGAAUGAUAGGGUUGUAAUUCCAGUUAAAAUUCAUAGAGAGCAAAACAGGGUUGCAGAUUUGUUAGCGAAUUAUGGUAGAUGUGGGGAUAGCACCAGGGGCGAACCCACGUUCAGGGGAGUGGGGGCCUAGGACCCCACUCAAACUUUGAAGUUCCAGUAGAAUUUCUUUGAAAUUUGAGAAAAAAUUGCCAAAACUAUUUAAGUUGGUGUAAAGUGUGCCCC
This is an RNA transcript of Triticum dicoccoides, 2690 nucleotides long. It is a transcript of the gene named F-box/FBD/LRR-repeat protein At1g13570-like, with no coding region annotated. NCBI's taxonomy places the organism in Eukaryota, Viridiplantae, Streptophyta, Magnoliopsida, Poales, Poaceae. The record is from RefSeq and is a predicted model, not a curated record. The transcript has 6 exons.